GACGAACGCUGGCGGCGUGCCUAAUACAUGCAAGUUGAGCGAUGAAGAUUGGUGCUUGCACCAAUUUGAAGAGCAGCGAACGGGUGAGUAACGCGUGGGGAAUCUGCCUUUGAGCGGGGGACAACAUUUGGAAACGAAUGCUAAUACCGCAUAACAACUUUAAACAUAAGUUUUAAGUUUGAAAGAUGCAAUUGCAUCACUCAAAGAUGAUCCCGCGUUGUAUUAGCUAGUUGGUGAGGUAAAGGCUCACCAAGGCGAUGAUACAUAGCCGACCUGAGAGGGUGAUCAGCCACAUUGGGACUGAGACACGGCCCAAACUCCUACGGGAGGCAGCAGUAGGGAAUCUUCGGCAAUGGACGAAAGUCUGACCGAGCAACGCCGCGUGAGUGAAGAAGGUUUUCGGAUCGUAAAACUCUGUUGGUAGAGAAGAACGUUGGUGAGAGUGGAAAGCUCAUCAAGUGACGGUAACUACCCAGAAAGGGACGGCUAACUACGUG
RNAcentral lists this ribosomal RNA (497 nucleotides) under uncultured bacterium. RNAcentral's name for it is "partial 16S ribosomal RNA". It matches the Rfam family "Bacterial small subunit ribosomal RNA", at positions 28 to 507 of the family's 1533-position model. The record is from RNAcentral.